AUGGGCGCAGCAGCGAGAAAACUUUGCAAUGUGCGAAAGCACGACAAGGUUUAAUCCGAGUGGUUUCUGCUAAAGGAACAUUUGUCAGUCCUAGAAACACUGAUGAAUAAGGGGUGGGCAAGUUCUGGUGUCAGCCGCCGCGGUAAAACCAGCACCUCAAGUGGUCAGGAUGAUUAUUGGGCUAAAGCAUCCGUAGCCUGCUUUGCCAGUUUUCGGUUAAAUCCACACGCUCAACGUAUGGGCUGCCGGGAAUACUACAAAGCUAGGGAGUGGGAGAGGUAGACGGUACUCGGUAGGAAGGGGUAAAAUCCUUUGAUCUAUUGAUGACCACCUGUGGCGAAGGCGGUCUACCAGAACACGUCCGACGGUGAGGGAUGAAAGCUGGGGGAGCAAACCGGAUUAGAUACCCGGGUAGUCCCAGCUGUAAACUAUGCAAACUCAGUGAUGCAUUGGCUUGAUGCCAAUGCAGUGCUGCAGGGAAGCCGUUAAGUUUGCCGCCUGGGAAGUACGUACGCAAGUAUGAAACUUAAAGGAAUUGGCGGGGGAGCACCACAAGGGGUGAAGCCUGCGGUUCAAUUGGAGUCAACGCCAGAAAUCUUACCCGGAGAGACAGCAGAAUGAAGGUCAAGCUGAAGACUUUACCAGACAAGCUGAGAGGUGGUGCAUGGCCGUCGCCAGCUCGUGCCGUGAGAUGUCCUGUUAAGUCAGGUAACGAGCGAGAUCCCUGCCUCUAGUUGCCACCAUUACUCUCAGGAGUAGUGGGGCGAAUUAGCGGGACCGCCGUGGUUAAUACGGAGGAAGGAAGGGGCCACGGCAGGUCAGUAUGCCCCGAAACUCUGGGGCCACACGCGGGCUGCAAUGGUAACGACAAUGUGUUCCGAAUCCGAAAGGAGGAGGUAAUCCUCAAACGUUACCACAGUUAUGACUGAGGGCUGCAACUCGCCCUCACGAAUAUGGAAUCCCUAGUAACUGCGUGUCAUUAUCGCGCGGUGAAUACGUCCCUGCUCCUUGCACACACCGCCCGUCGUUUCAUUGAAGUUUGCUUUUAGCGAGGUGACGUCUUAUGGCGUAUCG
This 1074-nucleotide ribosomal RNA is filed under the name uncultured Nitrososphaerota archaeon. Its description in RNAcentral is "bacterial SSU rRNA". It matches the Rfam family "Archaeal small subunit ribosomal RNA", at positions 326 to 1405 of the family's 1478-position model. The record is from RNAcentral. Lineage: Archaea; Thermoproteati; Nitrososphaerota.